Molecule: long non-coding RNA, 608 nt
Filed under: Mytilus galloprovincialis (Mediterranean mussel)
Lineage: Eukaryota; Metazoa; Mollusca; Bivalvia; Mytilida; Mytilidae
Source: RNAcentral
CUUAUGCUUGACUUGAUAAGUGUUGGACUUAUGGGUUGUUCGAGUAUUGGGCUGUCAGAGCAAUGGAUUGUCGGACUAUUGGGUUGUUGGACUAAUGGGUUGUCGGACCAAUGGGCUGUCGGACUAAUGGGCUGUCGGACCAAUGGGCUUUCGGACUAAUGGGCUGUCGGACCAAUGAGCUGUCGGACUAAUGGGCUGUCGGACCAAUGGGCUGUCGGACUAAUGGGCUGUCGGACUGAAUAUAAAAUUGAGAAAGGAAAUGGUGAAUAUGUCAAAGCGACAACCACCCGACCAUAGAGCAAACAACAGCCGAAGGCAACCAAUGGGUCUUCAAUGUAGCGAGAAUUCCCGCACCCGUAGGUGUCCUUCAGCUGGCCCCUAAAAUAUGCAUAAUAGUACAGUGAUAAUGGACGUCAUACUAAACUCCAAAUUAUACACAAGAAACUAAAAAUUAAAAUCAUACAAGACUAACAAAGGCCAGAGGCUCCUGACUUGGGACAGGCGCAAAAUUGCGGCGGGGUUAAACAUGUUUAUGAGAUCUCAACCCUCCCCCUAUACCUCUAGCCAAUGUAGAAAAGUAAAAGAAUAACAAUACGCACAUUAAAAUU